RNAcentral lists this ribosomal RNA (427 nucleotides) under uncultured Psychromonas sp. RNAcentral's name for it is "bacterial SSU rRNA". It matches the Rfam family "Bacterial small subunit ribosomal RNA", at positions 353 to 772 of the family's 1533-position model. Lineage: Bacteria; Pseudomonadati; Pseudomonadota; Gammaproteobacteria; Alteromonadales; Psychromonadaceae. The record is from RNAcentral.
AGUGGGGAAUAUUGCACAAUGGGCGCAAGCCUGAUGCAGCCAUGCCGCGUGUGUGAAGAAGGCUUUCGGGUUGUAAAGCACUUUCAGUUGUGAGGAAAGGGUAGUAGUUAAUACCUGCUACCUGUGACGUUAGCAACAGAAGAAGCACCGGCUAACUCCGUGCCAGCAGCCGCGGUAAUACGGAGGGUGCGAGCGUUAAUCGGAAUUACUGGGCGUAAAGCGCGCGUAGGCGGUUAAUUAAGUCAGAUGUGAAAUCCCAGGGCUUAACCUUGGAACUGCAUUUGAUACUGAUUAACUAGAGUUUUGUAGAGGGUGGUAGAAUUUCAGGUGUAGCGGUGAAAUGCGUAGAGAUCUGAAGGAAUACCAGUGGCGAAGGCGGCCACCUGGACAAAGACUGACGCUGAGGUGCGAAGGCGUGGGGAGCAAA